UACGUAGGGGGCUAGCGUUGUCCGGAAUCAUUGGGCGUAAAGCGCGUGUAGGCGGUUCGGUAAGUCCGCUGUGAAAGUCGGGGGCUCAACCCUCGAAAGCCGGUGGAUACUGUCGGGCUAGAGUACGGAAGAGGCGAGUGGAAUUCCUGGUGUAGCGGUGAAAUGCGCAGAUAUCCGGAGGAACACCGGUGGCGAAGGCGGCUUCCUGGACCGACACUGACGCUGAGGCGCGAAAGCGUGGGGAGCAAACAGG
Molecule: ribosomal RNA, 253 nt
Filed under: uncultured bacterium
Lineage: Bacteria
Description: partial 16S ribosomal RNA
Rfam family: Bacterial small subunit ribosomal RNA
Source: RNAcentral